Ribosomal RNA from Aotus nancymaae (Ma's night monkey), 153 nucleotides. It matches the Rfam family "5.8S ribosomal RNA". From Rfam's summary of the family: 5.8S ribosomal RNA (5.8S rRNA) is a component of the large subunit of the eukaryotic ribosome. It is transcribed by RNA polymerase I as part of the 45S precursor that also contains 18S and 28S rRNA. The record is from Ensembl. Lineage: Eukaryota; Metazoa; Chordata; Mammalia; Primates; Aotidae.
GAUUCUUAGCGGUAGAUCACUUGGCUCAUGCACUGAUGAAGAAUGCAGCUAGCUGUGAGAAUUAAUAUGAAUUGGAGGACACAUUGAUCAUCUACUCGUUGAAUGCACUUGUGGCCCUAGGUUCCUCCCGGGGCUAUGCCUGUCUGAGUAUCA